AACAGGAUUAGAUACCCUGGUAGUCCAUGCCGUAAACGAUGAGUGCUAAGUGUUGGAGGGUUUCCGCCCUUCAGUGCUGCAGCUAACGCAUUAAGCACUCCGCCUGGGGAGUACGACCGCAAGGUUGAAACUCAAAGGAAUUGACGGGGGCCCGCACAAGCGGUGGAGCAUGUGGUUUAAUUCGAUGCUACGCGAAGAACCUUACCAGGUCUUGACAUCUUCUGCUAACCUAAGAGAUUAGGCGUUCCCUUCGGGGACGGAAUGACAGGUGGUGCAUGGUUGUCGUCAGCUCGUGUCGUGAGAUGUUGGGUUAAGUCACGCAACGAGCGCAACCCUUAUUGUCAGUUGCCAGCAUUUAGUUGGGCACUCUGGCGAGACUGCCGGUGACAAACCGGAGGAAGGUGGGGAUGACGUCAAAUCAUCAUGCCCCUUAUGACCUGGGCUACACACGUGCUACAAUGGACGGUACAACGAGUCGCGAAACCGCGAGGUCAAGCUAAUCUCUUAAAGCCGUUCUCAGUUCGGAUUGCAGGCUGCAACUCGCCUGCAUGAAGUUGGAAUCGCUAGUAAUCGUGGAUCAGCAUGCCACGGUGAAUACGUUCCCGGGCCUUGUACACACCGCCUGUCACACCAUGAGAGUUUGUAACACCCAAAGCCGGUGAGGUAACCUUCGGGAACCAGCCGUCUAAGGUGGGACAGAUGAUUAGGGUGAAGUCGUAACAAGGUAACC
RNAcentral lists this ribosomal RNA (730 nucleotides) under uncultured Lactobacillus sp. RNAcentral describes it as "bacterial SSU rRNA". It matches the Rfam family "Bacterial small subunit ribosomal RNA", at positions 771 to 1501 of the family's 1533-position model. Lineage: Bacteria; Bacillati; Bacillota; Bacilli; Lactobacillales; Lactobacillaceae. The record is from RNAcentral.